This is a non-coding RNA of Nephila pilipes (giant wood spider), 74 nucleotides long. Lineage: Eukaryota; Metazoa; Arthropoda; Arachnida; Araneae; Nephilidae. The record is from the annotation of a GenBank genome assembly.
GCAGGUAGCCUAGUGGUCAUGGCCAUGGACUUGCUUUUCAUUGAGUUGCAGGUUCAAGCCUUGACCCUGAUGCA